Hyposmocoma kahamanoa is the source of this 188-nucleotide long non-coding RNA. RefSeq lists it as uncharacterized. The transcript has 3 exons. The record is from RefSeq and is a predicted model, not a curated record. NCBI's taxonomy places the organism in Eukaryota, Metazoa, Arthropoda, Insecta, Lepidoptera, Cosmopterigidae.
GGCGACGAUGGCGGCAAAAAGAAAAUGAUGAUGAUGGCGAUGAUGUGCAUGAAGAUGAAGUUUAUGAUGAUGGUGCCAGCUAUGAUGGGCAUGAUGGGAAUGAUGUCAUUCAAGGGGAUGAUGUUCAGCAUGAUGUCCUUCAUGGUUUCCAAGAUGAUGCUAUUAAUGAAAAUUUUGGAAAAGAAAGG